RNAcentral lists this long non-coding RNA (390 nucleotides) under Rattus norvegicus (Norway rat). RNAcentral's name for it is "long non-coding RNA NONRATT016886". The record is from RNAcentral. Lineage: Eukaryota; Metazoa; Chordata; Mammalia; Rodentia; Muridae.
UUGCAGACACACUGCCUCUUCUUUAUUUUCGCCCUUUCCCCAGCUCAGGUCCUCGCUGGAAGCGAGUGCUCCUCCUCAGGCCGCGGCUUCCAGAAGUAGCUUCGGAAUCCCGGCUCGAGCUGGGCGGGAAGGCGCGGUGGCCCGCGUCGCCCGCAUGCUCCCGCGCCCUCCCUGCCUGGCCGCGCCCCUGCGACCAGGUGAUCCAAUGACAACAGAAAAUGAAAGGCAUUAAGGAAAACGCUGUGGAAUCUCUGUACCUGGAGUACUCUCACCAAAUAGAAGGGUGCAUCUUUCCUCUCCACACAUCUGUAACUUUGUUUUUACUGUCGUACUGUGAAUGCAAGGUCUUUAACGUUUACCUAGUCCCUACUGAAGAAGGUGCAGACACUU